AGAAAUGGAUUCACUCAGUCAACUGGAUGUGAGAGAUUUGAGCUCAGUAAUCAGCUGGAGGAACAAAGAGACUGUAAUCAGGAGAAGCCCCUGAAGGGAAGGAUUGCUUUGAGAGCAAAAGGAAAACACAGUGUGGGAACACAGUGUACAAGGCUGUAUGAAAGUUAGUCCUUGGGAAGAACCCAUGCAGCUUUUUCUACUGUGCUAAAUCAUACCUCAAGUUCACCCCAGACUGCGCCUAUUUGAUGUAAGUGUUUUUGAACUAAAUGCAACUCGAAGCUGGAAAUGAGGGACAGCUCUGUUCGUUCUCCUCCUUUCCCACCCAUAGACAACUCUUUUUGGCUCAGAGAUGGCACCAGAAGACUCUGCAAAGAAACUUUGUCCAUUAGCUUCUUCCCACGUUUUAACCUUCCCACCUCUGGAAGCCGGACAAGGCUCUCUUCAUCCAUCAGUUCCCCACAGAUGCAGUGUUCUUUGUGGAAGAUGCUGUAUAAGCCAGAGUUCUAGGCCACUGCCUUGAGUUACCUUUCAUGGCGGUGUCUCCCAAGUGACAUGUACCCACAUGUUAAUAAAUUGGCUUCAUUUUCUGUGCUAA
This is a non-coding RNA of Ictidomys tridecemlineatus (thirteen-lined ground squirrel), 595 nucleotides long. The record is from RefSeq and is a predicted model, not a curated record. Lineage: Eukaryota; Metazoa; Chordata; Mammalia; Rodentia; Sciuridae.